ACAGUCCAUGGGGUCCCAAGAGUUGGACAUGACUUAGCAAGUAAACCACCACCACCCACUUCCCCAGUUACAUACUGGACACCUUCCAACCCAUGCAGGGGUGGGGGGAAGCUCAUCUUCUGGUGUCUUUUUAUACUGUUUAUCGGGUUCUCGUGGCAAGAAUACUGGAGUGGGUUGCCAUUUCCUUCUCAUUUUGUAUCACAUUUUGUCCGAACUCUUCACCAUGACCCAUCCAUCUGGGGUAGCCCUGCGUAGCAUGAAUUAUGUAAGCCUCUUUGCCAUGACAAGGCUGUGACCCAUGAAGGGGUGUGUAAGUAUUUAUUGCAUCAUUAUUUGUAAUACUAAAAAGUUGGAGGCAGUGUUAAUGUAUGACAACAGGGGAUGAUUAAAUUCUGGUUCUUACACCAUGGAUUGCUAUGCAGCCACUAAAAGGAAUGAUGUAAAUUUCUCUGUACUGACGAAGGAAGAUGUUUAUACUGUAUCCUAUAAAAAAUAUACAUAAGAAUAUAUUUAGUGUGACUUCUUUUUUUGGUAAAACCUCUUCCAUUCUCCCAUAACUCCAAAUUAUCUAGAGAUCUAGUCCAUCUCUCUAUAUGUACACAGAGAAAAGUUUGUAAGGACAUAUAUCAAAAGGAUAACAGCGGCUUUCCUAGGGAGAGAACAUCCAACAUCUAGUGGAUUGAAUCUCUGUUAUUGUUCAUCUACUAUGAACAUCUAUUUUUAUCGUCAUUUUAGAAAAUGAAUGAAAUGGCUAAUUUAGGAAAAAGGAAAUAUGUGUUGGAAAGACAUCAGAGGCUCACAAAAUCAAUAGGAAACCGUAAAGUCAGACUCAUCGAAUCAGCCAGUCGGAACCGGAGCAAAUUUUCAUGGUGGCUGUGAAGAAUGGUUUCUGUCCUGAUGCGUGUGCUGCCAGGGAGGGUGUUCUCAGCUGGCCCAGCAUAGCCCCAGGCCCGUGUCUUCUCUGUACUGGCUCUGGCUUGGAAGACUCUCUCCUCCAGAUCCCACGGUGGGAGCCCAGAGCCUCGAUCUGCCUGCUCACCAAAACCACAUUCAGUGGAGAAGACGUGAUUCCUGAAAGUUUAUUACAAGAGAUUGGAUAUAGGCGACUUCACUGGUGGUCCAGUGGCGAAGACUCCAUGUUCCCUAUGCAAGUGGCCCGGGUUUGAUUGCUGAUCAAGGAGCUCAGAUCCCACAUCCUGAAACUAAAGACCCUGCACACCACAGCAAAGACAAAAUCCUGUGCCACCAGUAAGACCAGCACAGCCAAAUAAAUGAAUAAGUAAAAAAUA
Molecule: long non-coding RNA, 1289 nt
Organism: Bubalus bubalis (water buffalo)
Lineage: Eukaryota; Metazoa; Chordata; Mammalia; Artiodactyla; Bovidae
Exons: 2
Source: RefSeq, a predicted model, not a curated record